This is a long non-coding RNA of Triticum aestivum (bread wheat), 1031 nucleotides long. RefSeq lists it as uncharacterized. The record is from RefSeq and is a predicted model, not a curated record. The transcript is spliced from 4 exons. Lineage: Eukaryota; Viridiplantae; Streptophyta; Magnoliopsida; Poales; Poaceae.
ACUCAUCCCUAGAAGGCCCAUCGUCACGCCCGCAGACUAUGGUUUCCUUCCGUUCGCCGCCUCUCCCGACUGGAUCAUCAUCGAGCGUCCCCUAUAGCCGCUCUUGCGGAUUUUCGCCUGGCCGUGUCUUUUCUUCGGGCCAUCGACGGUGACUUCAAUGUUCCAUCAAUGUUGGAAUCGAUCUACAAAACAUGGGUAUGAUCCAAUCCAUCCUCUCCUGCAGCUAACUCUAACUUAUAUACAUCUAAUCCCCUACCAUGAAUCUGUACCACCAUGAUUUGAAGAAAUCAACCCAGCGUUUUUGCAUAUGUGCCAAUUCUCUUCCCGGCGGAGUCGAUCAAGAAAGGUAUUGAUUGGCUGAUGUGUACAAGAGUGUACUAACUUCUAGACGUCAACUUGCUUCUUCGUCGCCGCUGCCAUUGGACGUUCAUCACAGUCAACGAGGGCGGGGUGGAGGAUGGCAGCCGGACACGUACACGGCCCGAACUUUUAUUGGGAAUAUUGAAGGAGCUUCUCAAUUGUUGGGCGGCCAGGGCUGACGCUACCUUUGGUUAUGACGUGGGUUGUUACCGAUGCUCUUGCUCCAAUUAAACUCCCGCCCAUCCAAACUCAGAUUCAGGACAGCCCCACGCCAUCAAAUGUACUUCAGACAACAAAGAUGAGAACAGCAAACAUAGCUUCCGCUCAUGGAUUAUUAUUGGCCAAUACUUUUAACAGGAGCAACACUUACGUACUUGACUUCAUGUUCGGCCCUUUCACAUGGGCUUGCUAGCACUGGAGCUUGCAAUGAAGGAGGAGUAGGUGUAAUUAGCAAGGUACUAGUUUCUUGCAGUUUUGUGAGGGUUCGUCAUCCAGCCUGUUAUCGUAAAUAGCGGAGGGUCCAUUGUUCCUGAUAAUGAGCGUCUCAAGUAGUAUAGCUGCUGGUGUUGCUGGAUCAACACAUCAACGUAGAGGCCUUGGUCUCUUGGACAACAUGUGGAGCAUAUAUCAUAUUUGUUUUGAACUGAGAACAUAUAUCAUAUUGUAAAGCA